AGAGUUUGAUCCUGGCUCAGGACGAACGCUGGCGGCGCGCCUAACACAUGCAAGUCGAACGAGCGAGAGAGAGCUUGCUUUCUCGAGCGAGUGGCGAACGGGUGAGUAACGCGUGAGGAACCUGCCUCAAAGAGGGGGACAACAGUUGGAAACGACUGCUAAUACCGCAUAAGCCCACGGUGCCGCAUGGCACAGAGGGAAAAGGAGCAAUCCGCUUUGAGAUGGCCUCGCGUCCGAUUAGCUAGUUGGUGAGGUAAUGGCCCACCAAGGCGACGAUCGGUAGCCGGACUGAGAGGUUGAACGGCCACAUUGGGACUGAGACACGGCCCAGACUCCUACGGGAGGCAGCA
Molecule: ribosomal RNA, 350 nt
Filed under: uncultured bacterium
Lineage: Bacteria
Description: bacterial SSU rRNA
Rfam family: Bacterial small subunit ribosomal RNA
Source: RNAcentral